CAAACACAAUGUUUUCAACGUGCAGGUCAACCGCAAUACCCCUUCGCAGUGAACUGUGAAGAACCCAGAAUAUGUACCUUGGAUCUGAUUCCCUACUGCAUCAAGGGCCGGAGAGAUCCCGUGCGUGGACAUUGUGAGGUACAGGACGCCAUCUGCAAUGGCGAGGAGCUGGACCCCAGCCACAGCUGCUUUCUGCCCUACACCGUCAGGUGCGACCGACCGGCCGGCCAACGCCCUUGCUUUCGUGACCUCCGACCCUUCUGUGUGGUGGGACGCUCGGAGCCCGUGCGAGGUCACUGCGCCAUCCAGAGGGCCAUUUGUGACGAAAACUCCGUGCUUGAUGUCAGCAACAGCUGCAUGGAGUGAGACAAGCCUCUCCUUUCGUUAAACAUGUGCAAGUCAUUUGUUUAUUAUCUGUACUUACAAUAUUACCUUCAAUAAUUUUGUAUUAAUGAUGUGCAAAUAAAACUAUAUAACUUCC
Molecule: long non-coding RNA, 481 nt
Organism: Pomacea canaliculata
Lineage: Eukaryota; Metazoa; Mollusca; Gastropoda; Architaenioglossa; Ampullariidae
Exons: 3
Source: RefSeq, a predicted model, not a curated record